Molecule: ribosomal RNA, 162 nt
Filed under: uncultured soil bacterium
Lineage: Bacteria
Description: partial 16S ribosomal RNA
Rfam family: Bacterial small subunit ribosomal RNA
Source: RNAcentral
AGAAUCAACGCUGGCGGCGUGCCUCAGACAUGCAAGUCGUACGAUUAAAGCUCUCUUCGGAGAGUGUAUAGAGUGGCGCACGGGUGAGUAACACGUAAGUAAUCUACCUUCGAGUGGGGAAUAACAGUCGGAAACGACUGCUAAUACCGCAUAAUGCAGCGG